This 106-nucleotide small nuclear RNA is filed under the name Mus pahari (shrew mouse). The record is from RNAcentral. Lineage: Eukaryota; Metazoa; Chordata; Mammalia; Rodentia; Muridae.
GUACUCGCAUUGACAGCACACAUGUUAAAAUUAGAACAAUAGAAGAUUAUUAACUCUGUCCUUGUACAAAGAAUACAUGCAAAUUUGUGAAGUGUUCCUUAUUUCC